GGAGAGGUUGCUGAGCGGCCGAAAGCGGCGGUCUCGAAAACCGUUAGGCGCCUUCCGGUGCCUCGUGGGUUCGAAUCCCACCCUCUCCGCCA
Molecule: transfer RNA, 92 nt
Filed under: Limnochorda pilosa
Lineage: Bacteria; Bacillati; Bacillota; Limnochordia; Limnochordales; Limnochordaceae
Description: tRNA-Ser
Rfam family: tRNA
About the family: Transfer RNA (tRNA) molecules are approximately 80 nucleotides in length.
Source: RNAcentral